Long non-coding RNA from Gallus gallus (chicken), 6071 nucleotides. RefSeq lists it as uncharacterized. The transcript has 3 exons. The record is from RefSeq and is a predicted model, not a curated record. NCBI's taxonomy places the organism in Eukaryota, Metazoa, Chordata, Aves, Galliformes, Phasianidae.
GAGAAUCAGGCCCAGGCUUUACAGGGAGGAAAAGAGAAUCAAAAAUGGCAGUCCUGCUUAAGUGAAGUUAAAUAUGAAUUCAAGCUCUGAAACUGCAUACAAGAAGUUUCUUUCAUACCCUCUGGUAGCAAAUAAAAUUACCCAGUCCCGUUCUUUGCCUCUGCUCUGAUAUCUCCUUGCUCAGAGAUCUGAAGCGAGGAAGGACACAAACUCAGCCAUAACACCCUGGUUUGGAAGGCCAUAGAGAAGCACCAUCUCUUCAGAAGAGUAACUCCCAUUUUGCUGACCAACGCCUUCUUCAACACAGGCCUUCCUAAAAUGGCAGAUAUGUACUUAAAGGCCCUACCGACACUGCUUGUGGUUUGUCAUCACCCUUCCAUGCACAGAGCUACCUGUUCAAAAUUAAAACACAGGCAUCAGAAGCGGGGACAGGUGGCAGGGCAGUGCUGAGGGCCUUCUUGCCUUUCUCUGGCUCCCAGCCAUGGUGGCAGGUGGACAUGGGCUCCACUUCACAGAGCCAUCACUCCCUCAGCUGAACACAGCUGUGGUGGGCUGCAAACAUAGCUCUGUGACCACGCGGCUGGGCCAGAAACACAGCAAGGACCCUGAAUUGCCUUGCUCACCCUGCUAACCAAAACAUUGUUCUGUGGAGAAAAGGGGUGAGGCGCUGCUCCUUCAGCAACGGCGUGGUGCAGGAAGGAGUGAGGGGCCUCACGGGCAGCAUGGGGCUCAUAGCAGCCUCUGUUUCAAAGUUUAAAUCUCUCCAGUGCCUUGCUAGGCAAAUCUGCUUACCGUGGCAAUAAACAGUGAGGCAAGAUGUAACCCGGUGCUGGGCUGCACUCUGACAGAAACAAGUAAAAAUAAUGCUCACUGGAGUCAGGCUCUCUUUAAAGCCUAAGAGAGUUUUGCAGAGGUGUUUUGCAGUGCAUGCAUACUAAUAGCAUUUCAACAGGAAUUUUCACCGAAUGCCCUAAUGCGUGAGAAUAGCAUGCACAUCUGAAAAAUCAACAGCCCACUUCCCCCCACUGGAGGAAAUGGAUUAAGCAGUAUUUUCUGUAGUACAAUGGACCUGACUGAAGGAAUAACAUGGCUUUUGAUAUAUGAUAAUUGUAGGAGACUGACACAAAAAAUAGGCCAAAUAAAGUCCUCAAAGGUACGUAUAUAGAACAUUUUCAAGGCCUGGAAAUAGCUUGUAUACAGAACAUCCUCUUUUUAUUCAGCCAAAAGAAUGUGCUUACACUGCAUAAAGGACAAGGGGUGGGAGUUACAAGUUGCUUCCUGUGAUUAUUUCCAGCCGUAAUCAAUGCAGUACUGAGUUAUUGGUUCUGUAAAGAGCCUGCUCUAUGCUAGCUAUGGAAAAAUAAAAUCCAAAAAGAGGAAGAGAGAGAGAGAAAAAGAAGGAGGGGGGAAGAGAAGGAGCUCAAGAAGGACUGCACUAUUAGAAGCAGAAAAACAGGUUCCUAAAGGAUGAAUUUGAGCUCAGGUGGGCACUUAAAUCUUUUAAAUCUUCAGGGAAGUAAAUUCUCUACCUUGCUGUAAAAAUAUGUAGCACUCAAAUGGGCUGUUUAUGACAGAGAAUAUCUGUGCUUAUAACUGAGAUCUGUCACAAUCAUGUAAUGCCAUGAAUGGGUGCUGAAAUUAAGGACUUCAAGUGAAAAAAAGAAAAAAAAGGGAAAAAAAAAAAAAAGCAAAGAGGGUACAACGGAGUCAGUCUUCCAAAAGCCUAUGAAAAUGUAGGCUCACUUAUGAGUAUUUCAUAUCCUAAAGGCAGAUUAUUUCCACAAGAAUCAGAAUAAGAUUUGACUGUAAAGAUGGAUUUGAAUAUUGGCUCCUGCGGUGCUUCCCUUAAUUCCGAAAUAAGUAUAAACAAGACCAGGUCUGAUACCAUAACAUGCUGUUUUUCUUUCUGUGAUGGUGGGUGCUGUUACCACCACAAGAUGACGGUCCUGUCCAUCCUGCUUCCUUCCCCACUAACAUCCCUUCCCAUUCCCUCCCUUUUUCCCCAGCAUUCAGUUUGGCAUUCAAAUCAAAGGUUUGCUUUGAAGUUAGAACCUAAAAUGGGGAGUUGAUAACUAUUUUCCUCUGAGUGCUUUAGUGAUGAUGAAUUGCUGACCAUGGAAAGGAAACGGCUUUCUUCUUCUUUCUUUUUUUUUCAUUUUCAUUUACAUGCAAGCAGUAAAAGUCAGGUUCCACACUGCAGAUAUGUGCAAAUUCAUCCAGUGACUGUGUGUGCUACAGCAAAUCCUAUGGAGAUAAGGAGCUAAAGCAGCAGGGGUGCAGCAACAUAAGCUUCAAAGCUAGACAUGCAAUUUAAUAGGCAACAAACUUAACAAAGAGCGAGGGGAUAUUUAACAGAGAGGUGAAAUAUUUCAGCUAUGAAGAAACAGAAAAUUGCUGUGAUGACCAGAGGUUUAGUGCUGUACUUCAAAAUGGAAUGUUUUCAUGGGAAGACAUAGACAUUUACCCAGGAGUUGGUUUAACUAAUGUUUUUUUUUUUUUUUUUUUUUUUUUUUCCAAGCACAGGUAUAUUCUGAGGGAUGAGGAUUGUUGUUUCGAACAGAAUUAAGUGUAUGUAUACUGGUAAUUGAUGCUGAAUGCACAAGGUAAUCAUCCUGUUCUUCAUAAAUGAUGGUGCUUAAUCAUAAGUAAAUUAGACCAUGUCAAUCUUUUAGGAGGCAAUUAAAGCAAUAGACUUUCCAUGGCCUGUUUUCACAUGCAUAGGGACUGAUUUAACUCCCAUCUACCUCUCUUGGGCAUAAGGCUUGCUUUCAGCACAGCUGCAGAUGACUUUUACCACUGUCAAAAGUAACUGACAAGUCCAUAAUACAGAGCACAAAUGUUCUUCAAAAAGAAAAAAAUAUAUAAAUCUGUUUUAAACAGCUAUCAGCCUUUAUUAAAACAACAGUUUGAGUAAAGAACUGAUUCUGUAAGAUUCCUAACAUCUAAUGAUGGAGAAACUGAAAGGUAUUAAUGUUUGUUGCGUGCUUCUAGUAAUAGCAGCUGAAUAACAUUUUUCCCAGCCACCUGGAUCUUCAUUUAGACAUUAUAAGAAACUGUACCUACGUUGCAAACUGGCCUUUUUCUUUCAUUUUCUGCAGUUCAUUUGUAUCCAGUCAGGCUGCAUCAAGAUUCAUUGCAUUUAAUGGGAAAUUCACUCUUCUGGAUCAGAUACCUAUUUUCAAUUUGGACAGUAUCUGAUUCCAAUGGCAGAGGUGACAGAAAUAAAGAGGAGAUGAGAAGCAACUGCCUAUGGUAUAGAUUUCUGCAAUGCUAACACAGCUGCCAGUUUCUGAACCAGUAGGAUUAUCCAGGACUCUCCAGGUUAGAAUUUACUUACAUUUUCCAAAUUAGGAUGGUGAAAGAAGAAAUGAAAAAUUAACUGUCUCUAGGUUUAUUUGAAAAAAUAACUAUUGCCUUUCUCUAAGAAUAAUAGUUUUCCACAUAAAAGUACCCUUGCCACAGUGUGUCUCCAGAGUCGCAGCCUUCCUAAGGAACCCAUUGCUCCAUAAUGAAGAUCUGCAAAAGUAUUCCUGACAUACAGCUUACAUCAGCAUCAGGCCCACUACUGGUCAGAGCGGGAUCAAGUUCAGGCUCAUUAUCACCUACUGUAUCUUUCUAGCCCCAGCUUGAGCACUUGACUGGGAGAAGAACAGUGGACAAGACUGUUGUGUGAACUUUUUUUAAAAUUAAAAAAUGUAUUGCCUGUGAAAACUUUUUUUUUUUUCUUUUCAAAGUCAUGUCAUGAAGAUGGCAUAUUGAUGGAAUUCAUGCUAGAAAGAACACCUGCACAGAUUUAUCUGUGUCAGAAAUGCUGGUGUUACCAUUUUCCUAACAAGGAGAAAGAAAAAUAGUAUGGUAUCAUAGCAUUAAUACUGUAGACUUCUGCUUCAGUUCACACAAUAGCAGUUUGUCCAGACUUAUCUGACCUAUUUGAAUUAUGGCAUAAAUUAGACCUGUGCAGGUUAUCCUUUUCAACUUGCUUACAGGCAUUUGGAAAACAUCAGUUCCUACAUAUUACUUAAACAAUAAGGAAAAUUUGGGGUCAUCUUUAUCUCCCACGUAUCUUGUCAUUGCACUCAUCUGACAUACUUACCUUGAAGAGCUGGCAUAUUUUGAGAAGAGAAUCAGAAGGGCAGGAAAAAAAGCAUUACUCUGAAUGUGAAAGAAUAGGCCAGGACAUCUAAGAGAGCCUACUUGUUAGCCUCUAAAGAAACUAUUGAAUCCUGCCCCAGUUUGUUGUGCACCCUAACCAAAUACUUCAUCAAACUUGAGUGACUGUGGCAUGUAAUCAAGCUGAAUGCCAGACAAAACAAGGGAACGAUUCUAGUUUGCCCUACAAGAUCAUGCAUAUUCAGAGGGCUUUCCAAAGGGCAUAGACCUGCGCCUUCCCACUCACUAAUACACAGCUCACCUAUAUUCCCCAAAUUCAGUACUUUCAUUCAUCUCAUCAGAUGAGGAAGCAACAGACACCCUCAAAGUCUCAUCUGAGAUAUGGCCUCUGCCCUUCCUCAGCCUGUUACAGAAAAUGCUCAACAGCUGCUGCCACUCCUGACUGCAGCUGCCAAUGGGAGAUCUGAACAGAGAUCCUCCUCUCUCUGACCAUCUGUUAAUUCUGGGAUGAGGAAAUCUACCUUGUAGACCUUGUUUCUGGCCAGCUGGCAUCCAGUCUUGUAACUCUGACUUUAUCAAGAAGAUAGCAAAAGCCAACUUCAGGGCUGCUUGAGUAGGCUUCAUAGAAGUUUUCCAGUCAAGAGAUAGAUGAACAUCAUAUUCAAAAAUAAAGUUAUAUCUAAUUAGAAAACACUCUUUAACUAACCUUGAGAUGCUCUAUGAAAACAGAGCAAGUUUGACCAAACUUUGGGUGAACAGUCAGUGAUCUUUUAAAGAACUACAUCUGGUGAAUUGCACUGGAUGCUGAAGAAUCCACAAUCCCAGCCCUGCUUUAAUAUAUUUUCUGGACUCUGCCAAUUAAAAUCCAGAGGAGUCAUCUGGGACCAACAGAUCCUGGAUUCCCUUUUUCUACAACAGAUCCUGUAAACCUCAUAGGGCUGUGGCUGCUGCCAAGGUCCAUGCACCUGCAGACUUUUUCCAUCAUGUCUUCCACGGCAGUGUUUGGCAGGAGCCUUGAGAGACACCUCCCCAUUGGGUCCAUCCCACGCUAGGCUUGGUGCCAGGCACUCCAAGUCCUAUCAGGCCCAUGGCAGUCCACUGCUCCUGACAGGCUGGAAAUGACUGGCAUGCUUGUCAGCUUUUCCUCUGCUCUGCAGACACCAGUUUUUCUGAGUAAUGUUUUCUUUCAUCUGGGCUGAACUGGGAGAGCCUGCCAUCUGGUAGGUGGUGACAUACCCUCAAUCAUUUACAUCUUCCUCAUUUCUUGGCUGGGCUGCAGCAGUGUGAUACACGCUGGAAAAACCAAGCAGCAGCAAACACUACAUCAUGUUUCCUCGGCAUCCAGGUGACUAUGGGCACAUCAGGCCUUCACCUCUGCUCUCUGCCUUGUCUGCAUAGGGGAUUCUAAAUCCAACGCAAGGGCUCAACGAGAUAGUCCCUAGCACAGCCCCUCAGCAGUCUGCCUUCAUCUUUGCACCAAAGGCAGUGGACAUGACUUCUCCAAGGAGCAGUCUACAGGGUGGAGGAAGCUUGCCUUGGGGAGAUAUUGAAUUUCAGUAGAGACUGGAGUCAGGGUGACUGUAAAGAGAGCAAACCUGACCGUUGCCCAGGGUUGCAGUUUUUUACCAGUAGCAAAGUGGCUGAAGCCAUGCUGCCUAUUUCCCCUGUGCCAGACCCACAGGAAGCAGGCAUUAUCGCCAGAGAGGCAAGGCCAGUGCCAGCAGUGGUUGUUCCUCUCUUGCCCUCCCUCUGCAGCAGCAGGGUCAGCCAUGCCAGCCCUCUGUGGCCUGCCUUGGUCAGCUUCCCAGCUCUGCUUAUCUUGCCUUCCCGUAGUCAGAGCAGCCUGGCUCUGACACUGCUUCCCCAAAAGAGCAAAAUUAGAUGUUACGUGUGCUCUGCAAAGGUUUGAGUCAGCUCUGCCUGGAACAAUCCCCUCAGGAGACCGCAGGCUGCUGCUAAGC